This 253-nucleotide ribosomal RNA is filed under the name uncultured bacterium. RNAcentral's name for it is "partial 16S ribosomal RNA". It matches the Rfam family "Bacterial small subunit ribosomal RNA", at positions 524 to 776 of the family's 1533-position model. The record is from RNAcentral.
UACAGAGGGUGUGAGCGUUGUCCGGAAUCACUGGGCGUAAAGGGCGCGUAGGUGGCGACCCAAGUCGAUGGUGAAAGCUCGCCGCUCAACGGCGAGUCGGCCACCGAUACUGGGUUGCUCGAGCACUGUAGAGGCUAAUGGAAUUCCGGGUGUAGCGGUGGAAUGCGUAGAGAUCCGGAAGAACACCGGUGGCGAAGGCGGUUAGCUGGGCAGUUGCUGACACUGAGGCGCGACAGCGUGGGGAGCAAACAGG